AGACUUCAAAGAAAACCAGCAGAAUUAAGACUCAGUUCACAUUCACUGAUAAAGUGGAGAGUGAGUAAGUUUGGACCAUCAGUGUGUGAGUUCAGAGCAUCAGUCAUGAGGCAGUGUUUCUGCCUUUUCCUCUUUAUGCUGCACUUUACUGAAGGUAAGUCCACAUUUAUAAAUACUUUAAAGAAUUAAGAGUGAAAUUAAUCAGUCAUCAAUGGUUGUGAUUCUGUGAUAGUGCUGCUGAGUGAUUUAGUUCCCCAACACUGCACAUUUUGGAUAUCUCUCUUGUCUGACAAAAGCUUAAAAUACAGAAGAUCCAGCACACUGCUUGUCAUGCUCCCAAAGACAUUUAUUACCUUGCAACGUUUCAACCACAAGGUCCCUCAAUCAACAGUAAAGACAUUCAACUGGUAUCACACAACAGGAUGAAUUAAAGUUUUUAAAAAUGAAAUCUACAAGGGCAGACUGAAGCUGUUUAAUGAAAGAUCUCCAGCAAAUCUGUCUCUGCUCAUUUCUGACCUCAGAAAAAAGGAUGAAGGGUCAUAUAGGUGUGAGAUUUUAGGCACAAAUUAUACAGACAUUCGGGUAAAGAUAAAAGGGUGUGAUCUGGACCAGAAUAAACAGACGGUCGAGGUGACGGGACACUCGGGAGAGUCUGUAGGGGUUUUUUUUCUUCUCAAGCAUUUAUUAAGCCACACCAUCAUUAAAUUGGUGACUUGUCUGACAUUAUACUGAUUUAAUAUUUCACAGCAAUUUGGCUAAGAUUUGUUCAUUUCUAGGAAGGAGAGAUGUCAAAAAGAUGGCCAAUGAUGGACUUGUGCUAGUGUGUAAUGAAAAUGAGAAUCAGGCUGAUGUAAUUCCUGAUAACUUAACUCAAGGACAAAACUUAAAACAAGAUCAAAAUGAGGAUGAGGUGACGUACACUUCUGUUGUCCAUGUCAAGACUGCUGCCAAACCAGCUGACAAACAGACUGUCAUAGAGGAGCACUCUGAGUAUGCCAGCAUCAAAUGAAGUCAAAAUAUGCAACUUUCAUUUCAUUGCUUUUCAUAUUAUUGCAAACAGACUAAACUAUAAUAUACAGCAGGGGAGAGUCGGGCACAACCUAAUGCUUUUUGACUUUCUCAGUUUGUGUAAAUCUACUUGGGGUUCAGGGAAUUUCUUUUGUUCCACAUUAAUUUCACACGUCUGGUACAAUAUGUGGCUUUGUUUCGUUAAUACAGUGUAUACUUUUUUCUUUGUUUACCCCGAAAGAAGGGAAGUGAAAUGUGACAACAUGCCCCAUAGAUGGGCCAUGUUUUAACAUGACCAUAUGACAGCUAAAAAUGUUAUCGGACUUAGUUAACAAAGUAUACAUGACAAACUAAAAUAUUUUGUCAAUAAAAGACAAUAAUUUUUUUUUUCAUAUAAAAUAAUAGCAUUUUUUUAGAAAUUCAAAUUUAAAUAAUUUUGUAGUUUGACAAUGAACACUCUGUAAAGCUAUACAGCACUGGUCAAAACAAUACAGGCAAACAGAAGAAAAAAUAUAUCCAGACAUUCAGAAAAACACAGAGCUGAACAAAACACUCCCCUCCCUCCACUCACAGCUCUCACAGAACACGAGAUAAAUAGACGAGACAGUACAAAUGCUGAACAUUUCUUGAAAUAAUGUUUUCUGGAUGUUCAGGUUCUUCCUCUCAGUCUUUAUUCACCUUUUUUCCCGUUGUUUCUCAACAGAAAUUCAUAAAAGUUGAUUAUGCCAGUUAUAUCGUAACUGUAUAGAAUAUUAUAGCUCUAGUAGUGGGGAACAUUGUAACGCAGAACCCUAUCUGCGCAACUGGAAUAUAAACCUGGUUAGUGUCUUCUGAUAGUUAGUGAAGCAUUAAAGAACUACCCAAACUGCUAAACAACAGAUUGGAGAUUAAAAUAAUAUCAGAUUUGUCUAAUUGUAAAUAAAAACAAAAAAUAUAGAUGAAAAAUUAGCUUAAUAUGAAAAUUAUUGCUAUUGUUAAAUAAAUGUUCAGUGAUAUCUUCCAAAGAUAUAUGAAUUUUGGCGCACAUUUUUCUCUAUAUAUUGUCGAUAUGGCAACUAGUAAAUACGCUAAGUUUCUUCAUGCUAGCAUGUGUUUGUGCCCCACACUCCCCUCCAUAUAUAGCCUGUUAAAGUGCUAACUUAAAAAAAUUGUGGUUAGCUUCCUGUGCUUUCUAAAUGUAGAGAUAAAGCUAGCUUGUUCUCUCCUAUAGAAGAGCUGUGAAAUGGCAUACUUCUCUCUGUUCGUCUUGCUUGGAGCCUGUAUUUGAAAUUCAGUGUUUCUGUUGUGCAUUCAAAAUGUCCAUUUACAGAACAAAUAACUGCAGAAUCUUUUUAAUAAAAUUUGAGUGAUUGAA
Megalobrama amblycephala (Wuchang bream) is the source of this 2362-nucleotide long non-coding RNA. RefSeq lists it as uncharacterized. NCBI's taxonomy places the organism in Eukaryota, Metazoa, Chordata, Actinopteri, Cypriniformes, Xenocyprididae. The transcript has 4 exons. The record is from RefSeq and is a predicted model, not a curated record.